RNAcentral lists this ribosomal RNA (494 nucleotides) under uncultured bacterium. RNAcentral describes it as "partial 16S ribosomal RNA". It matches the Rfam family "Bacterial small subunit ribosomal RNA", at positions 28 to 507 of the family's 1533-position model. The record is from RNAcentral.
GACGAACGCUGGCGGCGUGCUUAACACAUGCAAGUCGAACGGAAAGGCCUGCUUUCCCUUGUGGAUUGCGGGUACUCGAGUGGCGAACGGGUGAGUAACACGUGAGUGAUCUGCCCCCAACUUGGGUAUAAGCCUGGGAAACUGGGUCUAAUUCCCGAUAGGACUGCAGGGUGGUGCCUGUGGUGGAAAACGAUUUUCUAGUGGUUGGGGAUGAGCUCGCGGCCUAUCAGCUUGUUGGUGGGGUAAUGGCCUACCAAGGCGGCGACGGGUAGCCGGCCUGAGAGGGUGGACGGCCACAUUGGGACUGAGGUACGGCCCAGACUCCUACGGGAGGCAGCAGUGGGGAAUAGUGCACAAUGGGCGGAAGCCUGAUGCAGCGACGCCGCGUGGGGGAUGACGGCCUUCGGGUUGUAAACUCCUUUCGACCGCGAGGAAGCCACCUGGUUGGAAGGGUGGUGACGGUAGUGGUAGAAGAAGCACCGGCUAACUACGUG